AUGAACGCUGGCGGCGUGCUUAACACCUGCAAGUCGAACGAGAAGUGAAGACGGAACCCUUCGGGCGGAAGGCUUUAUUUCGAGUGGCGGACGGGUGAGUAACGCGUGGGUAACCUGCCUCAUACAGGGGGAUAACAGUUGGAAACGACUGUUAAUACCGCAUAAGACCACAGCACCGCAUGGUGCGGGGGUAAAAACUCCGGUGGUAUGAGAUGGACCCGCGUUCGAUUAGCCAGUUGGCGGGGUAACGGCCCACCAAAGCGACGAUCGAUAGCCGAUCUGAGAGGAUGACCGGCCACAUUGGGACUGAGACACGGCCCAAACUCCUACGGGAGGCAGCAGUGGGGAAUAUUGCACAAUGGGGGAAACCCUGAUGCAGCGACGCCGCGUGAGUGAAGAAGUAUUUCGGUAUGUAAAGCUCUAUCAGCAGGGAAGAAAAUGACGGUACCUGAGUAAGAAGCCCCGGCUAACUACGUG
This 477-nucleotide ribosomal RNA is filed under the name uncultured bacterium. Its description in RNAcentral is "partial 16S ribosomal RNA". It matches the Rfam family "Bacterial small subunit ribosomal RNA", at positions 29 to 507 of the family's 1533-position model. The record is from RNAcentral.